AGUAUGAGCUCAAGGACAAAGCAAAACAAGUGGAGGAAGAAAGAAUCGAAGAGGGACUGAAAUGAAGACAGUUAAAAGUUGGAGGACUAAAGCGCAAAUACUCAAAAGAUGAGCCGAAUGAGUGGCAAGAGAUUUGAUGGUGUCAAUCAUCAAUUGGAGGAUAACAUUUGUUGAAAAGAUGAAGAAAUCGAAGAAAGAAGUCAAGAGAAGCAACAAGGAAAGUUCAGGGACCAAAAGGUGAAGACUUCAUAGUUGGUUAGUCAUUGCGACCGCAUAGUGUAACCAUCUAUGCGGUCGCAUAGAUGGUUGCAGGAAAUUUUGGGGGAAAAUUUAUUGGUCUAUGCGACCGCAU
Molecule: long non-coding RNA, 352 nt
Filed under: Olea europaea (common olive)
Lineage: Eukaryota; Viridiplantae; Streptophyta; Magnoliopsida; Lamiales; Oleaceae
Description: long non-coding RNA (OEUR_LNC012293)
Source: RNAcentral